GACGAACCGUGCGAACGUUAUUCGGAAUCACUGGGCUUAAAGGGCGCGUAGGCGGUCCAACAAGUCAGGGGUGAAAUCCUGCAGCUUAACUGUAGAAGUGCCUUUGAUACUGUUGGUCUUGAGGGAGAUAGGGGUGUGCGGAACUUCCAGUGGAGCGGUGAAAUGCGUUGAUAUUGGAAGGAACGCCGGAGGCGAAAGCGGCGCACUGGAUCUCUUCUGACGCUGAGGCGCGAAAGCUAGGGGAGCAAACGGG
RNAcentral lists this ribosomal RNA (253 nucleotides) under uncultured bacterium. RNAcentral describes it as "partial 16S ribosomal RNA". It matches the Rfam family "Bacterial small subunit ribosomal RNA", at positions 524 to 776 of the family's 1533-position model. The record is from RNAcentral.